Molecule: ribosomal RNA, 254 nt
Filed under: uncultured bacterium
Lineage: Bacteria
Description: partial 16S ribosomal RNA
Rfam family: Bacterial small subunit ribosomal RNA
Source: RNAcentral
UACGUAGGGGGCGAGCGUUGUCCGGAAUUACUGGGCGUAAAGGGCGCGCAGGCGGCCGUGUAAGUCCGCUGUGAAAGACCGGGGCUCAACCCCGGGGUGUCAGCGGGGACUGCGCGGCUGGAGUCCCGGAGAGGGAGGCGGAAUACCUGGUGGUAGCGGUGGAAUGCGUAGAGAUCAGGUGGAACACCGAUGGCGAAGGCAGCCUCCUGGACGGGUACUGACGCUGAGGCGCGAAAGCGUGGGGAGCGAACGGG